CAAAAACAUGUCUUUUUGAAUUAUAUAUAAAGUCUAACCUGCCCAAUGAAAAUUAAAUGGCCGCAGUAAUUUGACUGUGCAAAGGUAGCAUAAUCAUUAGUUUUUUAAUUAAAAGCUCGUAUGAAAGGUUGGACGAGGUAAAUUCUGUCUCUAUUUAAUUUAAAUUAGAAUUUAAUUUUUAAGUUAAAAAGCUUAAAUAUUUAUAAAAGACGAGAAGACCCUAUAGAGUUUUAUAAUUAUAUUAUUAAAAUUAUUUUAGUUUAAUUAAAGUUUUAAUAUUAUAAUUAUUUUAUUGGGGUAAUAGAAAGAUUAAAUAAAUUCUUUUUUUUUAUUAACAUAAAUUUAUGAAUAAAUGAUCCAUUUUUAAUGAUUAUAAGAUUAAGUUACCUUAGGGAUAACAGCGUAAUUUUUUUAGAGAGUUCAUAUCGAUAAAAAAGUUUGCGACCUCGAUGUUGGAUUAAAGAUUAAUUUAGGUGUAGAAGUUUAAAUUUUUGGUCUGUUCGACCAUUAAAUCUUUACGUGAUC
RNAcentral lists this ribosomal RNA (525 nucleotides) under Carabidae sp. CFUS15. Its description in RNAcentral is "partial large subunit ribosomal RNA". It matches the Rfam family "Bacterial large subunit ribosomal RNA", at positions 1808 to 2605 of the family's 2925-position model. The record is from RNAcentral. Lineage: Eukaryota; Metazoa; Arthropoda; Insecta; Coleoptera; Carabidae.